This 74-nucleotide transfer RNA is filed under the name Cordylochernes scorpioides. RNAcentral's name for it is "tRNA-Gly". The stretch from base 12 to 66 matches the Rfam family "tRNA", at positions 8 to 63 of the family's 71-position model. Rfam says of the family: Transfer RNA (tRNA) molecules are approximately 80 nucleotides in length. Their secondary structure includes four short double-helical elements and three loops (D, anti-codon, and T loops). Further hydrogen bonds mediate the characteristic L-shaped molecular structure. tRNAs have two regions of fundamental functional importance: the anti-codon, which is responsible for specific mRNA codon recognition, and the 3' end, to which the tRNAs corresponding amino acid is attached (by aminoacyl-tRNA synthetases). tRNAs cope with the degeneracy of the genetic code in two manners: having more than one tRNA (with a specific anti-codon) for a particular amino acid; and 'wobble' base-pairing, i.e. permitting non-standard base-pairing at the 3rd anti-codon position. The record is from RNAcentral. Lineage: Eukaryota; Metazoa; Arthropoda; Arachnida; Pseudoscorpiones; Chernetidae.
CCGUUUGCUUUUGGUUCAGUGGUAGAAUGCUCGCCUGCCACGCGGGCGCCCGGGUUCGAUUCCCGGCCGAUGGA